AGCUUAAAUGAACUUGUUAAUAAAAUGUGAAAACUAGUUGUCUUGUAUAUUGUAUCACUUGCAUCAUGCCAUUGGUGCAUUGCCAUUUGAACCUGGAAAGUACUUAGACUUAUAGUACAUGAAAUAAACACAAACCUGAAACCAUGCACAGUAGCAGCAAGAUUCAAGACAGAAAUGAGUCUUUGCUGUUUCCGUUCUUUUCUAUUUAUCUGAUAUUCUUUUUGAUCUUUCUCCAUGACCAUGUGUUACUAGUAAGUUCCCUUCAUUCUACCAGCGGUGUUAGUUGAUAUAGCCUAAGCCGGGCUAAGGAUGCUCAAUUGGUGACGAGUUCCAUUUCAACGCACAUUAACGCUUCGUAGCCAACAGUGACGUGACUAAAAUAAAAUAGGAUAAAAUUGUGCCUCGAGUUCAAUCGAUUGCUUCGUGUGCACUCAAUCAAAAUUUGGGUCUUUAAAAUUCUAAAAACAUUCUGAGUGGCGUAAAGAUCAGCGCCUGUAAGUAUAUAUUAACUGCAUCAGUUUGCCAUAGCCUAAUUUCUGUAUAAUGCCAGACUAUUUC
This 558-nucleotide long non-coding RNA is filed under the name Paramuricea clavata. Lineage: Eukaryota; Metazoa; Cnidaria; Anthozoa; Malacalcyonacea; Plexauridae. The record is from RNAcentral.